UCUGGUAUUUUGCUCAAGUAUGGUUUUCUUGGCCCAUCCACUUCUAAUGUGUUUUGUAACUAAUGCAAAAUGUGCAUUAGAAGUGGAUUGGUCAAGGGAAGCGUACUUGUGCAAAAUGCGGCAGU
MicroRNA precursor from Arabidopsis thaliana (thale cress), 125 nucleotides. It matches the Rfam family "MIR3440 microRNA precursor family". The record is from Rfam. NCBI's taxonomy places the organism in Eukaryota, Viridiplantae, Streptophyta, Magnoliopsida, Brassicales, Brassicaceae.